UCAGGUUCAAAUGGGAGGAACUUGUUGAGCUCAUCAGGAAUUGGAUUGUUGUGGAAAUCAGAAAGUUUGCACUUGACUUGUGCUUCAAGAAGGGAAUGCCCGCUAGUGGGUAGCAAAGGGUUAAGACCUCGGCUGAAGAGUUCUUGAGGUGGCUGGAUUCAUGGCAUUGUGUUCAUAGAAUAAGAGCAAAGGGUUGUAGACUGGGGGAGCUAACUGGUCAAGGAAGGAAAAUUGGUAUAGUGGUGCCAGAGAUGGUGAGGGGUUGGAGAAGAUGGUUAAAUCUCCUUGGAGAUCAAUUCAACUUCAACCUUCAUUCUAAUUUUCUCAACUAAUGAUCAAACUUGAUCGAGUUGUGCCAAAAAUUUGAAGACUUGAAUCUGCUUGUAUUGUGAUCAAGCAUAUACACGUAGGAAGCAAUGACGGAUCUAGGAAUUUUUCAGGAGGAGGUGCAAUAUUUAAAAGGCUAAAAGCUUCCAAAAAAAAAAAUCAUAUAUAGAUGGGAUCAUAAAUUAUCAAGCAAGCCAACUAAAAAGAUAGAAACAAGCAAUACAGAAGGUUAAAAGGGCCUACUAUCCAUUAGAGAAUUGCAUAAGAAAAACCAGUGAAAAAGUUCGAAUUUGAAUACUAGAGAGUAAAUAUAAUUCAAUCUUAUCUUACCAAAACUGUUUAUACCUAAUUAAACGGCCUAUUACCGCCGGACACGUGGACAGGAUCCAUUCUGAUCACAGGACCCCUUCGGCAUGCUCCCUACCGAAGCCAUCUAUCUUGGCCCUUUUUACCAUCAGACACGUGUCAUGCUCGCAAUCCAUGCCUGGAGUCCCACAUCGGAAAAAUGAGCACAACGCACACCUCCCAAGGUCUAUAUAAGGAGACCCAUAUCCCCAAAAGGAAGGGAUCAGAACUAACGGUACGCUAUCGUGUGAUCUGUCA
RNAcentral lists this long non-coding RNA (930 nucleotides) under Prunus persica (peach). RNAcentral describes it as "long non-coding RNA (PPER_LNC001192)". The record is from RNAcentral. Lineage: Eukaryota; Viridiplantae; Streptophyta; Magnoliopsida; Rosales; Rosaceae.